UCACAAUCGUGAGAUCAAGACCUGACUCCAGAUCAAGAAUCAGAGGCUCAACCUACUGAACCACCCAGACACGCCCAGAAAAGCUGAAUCUUGAACAGAGCCUUGAAGAAAGUGCACCCAGCAGCUAUCCUCAAGGCCUUGCAGAAAGCACAGUCCCACUUUGGGGCCCCCUCACUGCUUCUGACACAUUCAGAGCCGUGUGAGAUCACACAAAGCCAUCAGGAAUACCUGCAGUUUCCAACCUGGAGAACUGAAAACAUUCCCCAGCAUGCUGCCAGCGUGAAGAAGCUCUGUAAUUACAGACAUGCAGGGGUUUGUGUUCCUGACCUCACUCAUCGAUGAAACGCUUCCAUCCCCUUCACUUCCCACGGUGUCUUUAUCAAGGAAGCAGGAAGCUGGGCCCAUCAGAAAAGUUCGGCCUGAUGGAGAACACACGGGAGAGAAACAUGUGGCUCUGUAGAGCAAACCCACGCCACAAACAUCCAGGCCAACAGCACCACAAUUCCAUCCAGUAAAUUGUGCUCCCAUUGAGACAGAAGGAAAACAAUUUGACAUGGGCCCUGACUUUCAAGAUCCACACGGUCUGAGAUGGGAGACUAAAUCGAGUCUAACUGUCGAUACCAAUUCUGGACACUCGUGACCCACUCCUCAACUUCAGAUGCACUUCAUAGGCUCUUGGCUCUCAGCAACACAGAGAGUCUUAUUCUCAUCCCACAGAGGUGGAA
Long non-coding RNA from Prionailurus viverrinus (fishing cat), 725 nucleotides. RefSeq lists it as uncharacterized. Lineage: Eukaryota; Metazoa; Chordata; Mammalia; Carnivora; Felidae. The record is from RefSeq and is a predicted model, not a curated record. The transcript has 3 exons.